CUGCUUAGAAGUGGUACAGCAUUACAUCCACUAUAUGCCUCCCCGGGGCUUAGGUGGAUACAACACAGAUGGCACGUUUUGAUGGACAGAAUGACAAGUGCAUACUGGGAGGGAAGGAAUAGGUGGUAUCAUCUUUGGAUACUGCUGACCACAGCAUCUUCCUGCCUAAAGAACAGGAAUCUGAAACAUAGCACCUACCUCUGAAGACACUAAACAAAAUGCACAAAAUGUCUAUUUGGACCAGAAGGAGCAUUUGAGACUGUCAGUGGCUGUCUUCAAGGGUUCAGAGAACUGAUGUGAUUCCCUCCUCUGCUAUAUUUCUGGAAAAGCAGUUCACCGACCAACUCUAACUAGAGGAAACUUGGGCUGACACUGAACAUUCACUUCGUGCUUUCCCAAAGCCUAAGGGAGCUUUGUGGAAGGGAGGCAUGAUCAAAUGGAAAGAACAUGGCUUUGAGCCUAACAAAGGGUUUAGACUCCUCCGCCUGCCAGAACAGUGAUUCCACCUCUCUUGGAACAGUCAUAUCUGCUGAGAAGUUUAAGGAAGGAACCUUGAGAAAGCAUCAGAGGUGGCUUUGGAGGUGGAAUCUGAAGAAACUAGAGGAGAGAAGAAAGGAAGAAUGGAUUACAAAAGAUGAGCAAGAUGCCUGGAAUUUCACACGUACAUCAUCUCUUUGGGUCACAGAGAAAGCCAUGCUUGAUUAACACUGAGGAUUGCGUACGACCUAUGGCUGGUGUCCAAUGACUUCUCCCAUUUUCAGAACACUUCUGUAAUGUUGCCGUCAGUGGUGAAUAUAUGACAUCCAAGGAAAGGUGAGGCCCUGACACUAAGAGGAAUACAAUGACCAGUCCAAGAGGACAACCCAGAACUGGACUUCUGGGGCCUGACUGAACUGGAUUGAGGUAUCGGACACACUUUUACAGAGGCUAUUUAGGAGGUAGAUUUUAUGAGCCUCAUUUUGCCAAUGAUAACACUAGGGCACAGAGAGGUUCAGCAACCCGCCCAAGGCCACACAGCCAGGAAGGAGCAGGAUCUGACCCCAGGCUGCCUGACUCUGGAGCCCAUGCUUGCAAACAUUCCACUGAACCAGGUCGUAAUCCCUGCUGAAUGAUUUCAGCUCUCCUGCUGUCUUCCCCCACCUCACUGUCUCUCGAUGGACGUUCACAUUUCCCGGCUGGCCCAGAAGCUGCGAUAGGGUGUUAUGAGCUGUUAGGUUAAGAGGGGUGAAGCCCUGUGAAAAGAAAACACACUUGCUCCCCUUCCUCAGCUGCGCUGGUCUUUCCUCCAGCUGAUCUUUCUCCUGUUAUAUAAAUGGAAUGUUAUACAAAUGUUUCCACCAUGAGUUUCCUUUCAAAAGAUGAAUAAAAGAAUGAGGCGUUUUGUUUUCCUUUGUUCC
RNAcentral lists this long non-coding RNA (1397 nucleotides) under Sus scrofa (pig). RNAcentral describes it as "lncRNA (ENSSSCG00070004695.1)". The record is from RNAcentral. Lineage: Eukaryota; Metazoa; Chordata; Mammalia; Artiodactyla; Suidae.